This 69-nucleotide transfer RNA is filed under the name Pseudomyrmex concolor. RNAcentral describes it as "tRNA-Tyr". The record is from RNAcentral. Lineage: Eukaryota; Metazoa; Arthropoda; Insecta; Hymenoptera; Formicidae.
AACGUUAUGUCUGAUUUAAGUAGUAAAUUGUAAAUUUAUUUAAGGGUGUAUACUAUAUCCCUAUCGUUA